AAUAUGAUUGCUGAGUGGUAAAGUGCUUGGCUUUUGAACCGAGAGGUCCCGGGUUCGAAUCUCGGUGAGACUG
This 73-nucleotide transfer RNA is filed under the name Biomphalaria glabrata. It matches the Rfam family "tRNA". From Rfam's summary of the family: Transfer RNA (tRNA) molecules are approximately 80 nucleotides in length. Their secondary structure includes four short double-helical elements and three loops (D, anti-codon, and T loops). Further hydrogen bonds mediate the characteristic L-shaped molecular structure. tRNAs have two regions of fundamental functional importance: the anti-codon, which is responsible for specific mRNA codon recognition, and the 3' end, to which the tRNAs corresponding amino acid is attached (by aminoacyl-tRNA synthetases). tRNAs cope with the degeneracy of the genetic code in two manners: having more than one tRNA (with a specific anti-codon) for a particular amino acid; and 'wobble' base-pairing, i.e. permitting non-standard base-pairing at the 3rd anti-codon position. Lineage: Eukaryota; Metazoa; Mollusca; Gastropoda; Planorbidae. The record is from Rfam by way of RNAcentral.